Helianthus annuus (common sunflower) is the source of this 1767-nucleotide long non-coding RNA. RefSeq lists it as uncharacterized. The transcript is spliced from 6 exons. Lineage: Eukaryota; Viridiplantae; Streptophyta; Magnoliopsida; Asterales; Asteraceae. The record is from RefSeq and is a predicted model, not a curated record.
UUUGGCUUUCAUCCCCAUGUUCCCACGUAUGGCUCCUAGGGUUGUGGGCAGUUUGUUUCUGUCGGUUCACCCCACUAUCCUUUUUCUCCUCCUAAAUCCUUGCUACUACAACCGCACCUCCUGUAGGUUAUUUAUAAAUCAUCCCCAAACCUUCCAUUCCCCAUUCUCAAAUUUACAUUCUUCAAUUAUUCUCCGCCAUUCAAAAUACAUCCAACUUUACAAGCCAGUGGAAUAGUUCGAUUUCAUCAACAAUCCAUUGGAGGAGCCAUUACCAACAACCGAUUGGUAAACCCUUACCUAUUUUCUCAUCUUCUACGUUCAAUCUCCGGUUGGUUUCUGUUGUAAUACAAAUCACCAAACAAACAAACAAACCCUUCCUUUCAUCUCUCCAGCGACAAAUAAACCAACAUGGGCAGUUCCAUAUGAAGCCGCGUCGGAAAAUGAAAUUGCAGAGAGAACAUCUAAUUCUUGAAGUUUCAUCGCAUCUCACCUCUAAAGAUAUAAUCAUUGCCAGUUUCUUUUCAAGGACACCACUGCCUCCCAACUGUGAGAUCGAACAAAGUUAAGGUUACAUCUACAACAGUAUCACCUAGCCCUUGAAUUCAAGAUGGGAUUUUAUGGUCAUCAAAGGAGGUACCGUGCAUAGAAGAAUUCCCCUUGUCUGCAGCCAACCCAUGUGGACGAACCAAGUGGGGGCACAUCUAAGUGGAUAUGUUGGUGAAGAUCCUCUUGCAAUAAAAAAUAAUCUUAUGCCUUUUGUCCAGAAUCGCCGUUGACAGGGUUCUGCACUCAAAAGUAAUCUCAACCAAAGAUGGAACAUGGGUACGUGAUUACAUAUAUGUUGCAGAUUUUAGCUAAUGGGCAUAUGGCUGCAUUUAAAAAAGGGUAAUUGCACGGUACCCACGACCGCGGGAGGGUUCUCCCUCCCCAGCAGGAUAGCCCCAUACCUAACUGGCGGUGAAUCCCCAGCCAUCGAGUGGACCAUAGGUUUUUUGAUAAUCGACCGGAGUCGAACCCGGGUCCCCACGAUUUGUGUGGGUGAGGCUGGCUACUGGGCUGACACCCAGUGGUUAUAUGGCUGCAUUUAGAAAACUCACAGUCCUGAAAUAGGUAUGUAUUCUUUUGUAAUGUUUGCUUAUUUCAUAUAUAUUAUAUUAAUAUUUACUAGACACAAUUACAAAUAAUCACAACUAUAUGGCAAAUUGUAGUUAAUUAAAUGAUAUGCAUGUCAUUAUUUUGGAUUUUGCUACCAUCAGGAUAAAAAAUAAGAAGAAUCUACUUCUAUCUUAUUUACGAUAUUUUUAAUAUAAAAAUUUAAAUGGGUGAAACAUUGGAGCAACUGUAAGGUUAUUAGUAUGAGACCUGGAGGUCAUGGGCCAAAUAAGAAGAUUCUUGAUCAUUGAAAUAAAGCUACUGCUACAUGGUUGGUCAUUUCCCUUUAGGCGUAUGGGUUUACCGAAACCACAGGUGGAGUCCCAUGAAUUGCAGAAUUCGUAUGGGAGCAUGAUAGUAGGCACCGUUGGGCAGCUCAUAGCCAACUGUGAAGCAAAGAUAGUUAACCAAAACACGGGGCCGGGUUGCCUUCUAUGAACCAUAGUGAAUUAUGGGUUAGAGGCUCAUUCAGUGCUGCCUAUCAUUUACUUUUUCAUUAAAAUGACAGUAUUUCAUGUUUUAUCUCUCUAUAAGUUUUAUUUUAUACUGUUUGUGGUUGUACACCGUUCACAUGGGUUUUCCUUUUAUAGAUUAUAAAAAUGGUGCUUUUGUUUA